Molecule: ribosomal RNA, 493 nt
Filed under: uncultured bacterium
Lineage: Bacteria
Description: partial 16S ribosomal RNA
Rfam family: Bacterial small subunit ribosomal RNA
Source: RNAcentral
AUUGAACGCUGGCGGCAUGCCUUACACAUGCAAGUCGAACGGUAACAGGUUAAGCUGACGAGUGGCGAACGGGUGAGUAAUAUAUCGGAACGUGCCCAGUCGUGGGGGAUAACGUAGCGAAAGCUACGCUAAUACCGCAUACGAUCUACGGAUGAAAGCGGGGGAUCGCAAGACCUCGCGCGAUUGGAGCGGCCGAUAUCAGAUUAGGUUGUUGGUGAGGUAAAAGCUCACCAAGCCUGCGAUCUGUAGCUGGUCUGAGAGGACGACCAGCCAACCUGGAACUGAGACACGGUCCAGACUCCUACGGGAGGCAGCAGUGGGUAAUUUUGGACAAUGGACGCAAGUCUGAUCCAGCAAUGCCGCGUGCAGGACGAAGGCCUUCGGGUUGUAAACUGCUUUUGUACGGAACGAAACGGUGAGCUCUAAUACAGUUUGCUAAUGACGGUACCGUAAGAAUAAGCACCGGCUAACUACGUGCCAGCCGCCGCCGUAA